Felis catus (domestic cat) is the source of this 85-nucleotide non-coding RNA. The record is from Rfam. NCBI's taxonomy places the organism in Eukaryota, Metazoa, Chordata, Mammalia, Carnivora, Felidae.
GCCUGGGUGGCUCAGUCGGUUGAGCAGCCGACUUCGGCUCGGGUCACGAUCUCGCGGCCCGUGAGUUCGAGCCCCGCAUCAGGCU